Molecule: ribosomal RNA, 301 nt
Filed under: uncultured bacterium
Lineage: Bacteria
Description: partial 16S ribosomal RNA
Rfam family: Bacterial small subunit ribosomal RNA
Source: RNAcentral
CAGUAGCCACGGGAAUACAGAGGGUGCGAGCGUUAAUCGGAUUUACUGGGCGUAAAGCGUGCGUAGGCGGCUAAUUGAGUCGGAUGUGAAAUCCCCGAGCUUAACUUGGGAAUUGCAUUAGAUACUGGUUAGCUAGAGUGUGGGAGAGGAUGGUAGAAUUCCAGGUGUAGCGGUGAAAUGCGUAGAGAUCUGGAGGAAUACCGAUGGCGAAGGCAGCCAUCUGGCCUAACACUGACGCUGAGGUACGAAAGCAUGGGGAGCAAACAGGAUUAGAUACCCCUGUAGUCCCUGUCUCUUAUAC